AUGCGGGCAAAGCUUUGGAUGGGAUUUGCUCCCUUCCUUUCAAAGCGUUACAUCUCCACCUGCGGGACAUCGUCGCUACCUCCAUCUUCAUCGAGCUUGGUAAUACAACCAUGGCUUUUUAUUGGUCUCGGUAACCCCGGUGAGAAGUACCAAUCCACCAGACACAAUGUUGGAUUUGAUAUGAUAGAUGCAUUUGCAGUGUCUCAGGGCAUAUCCCUGACAACGCAUCAUUUCAAAGCACUAUUUGGUGAAGGGGUGGUAGAUGGUGUCCCUGUUUUGCUUGCCAAGCCUCAAACAUACAUAAAUCUGAGUGGUGAAUCUGUAAGCAAACAGUUUUGGAAGACUUCUUCAAAUUUUAUACUAUACAUUUUUCAUGCGAUGCGGUUCAUUUUAACUGGCUUGACUGUGAACCACGACAGCAUGUUAAAUCCUUGUGACGCUGACACCCCUCUGUUUUUCCUUUUCUUAUUACGGGCUGGUGCAUUUGCUGCCUAUUAUAAACUGCCACUUCACCGUGUCAUAGUGGCAUAUGAUGACACGGACCUGCCAUGUGGAGUUCUCCGUUUACAACCUAAAGGAGGAUAUGGACGUCACAAUGGGUUGAAGAGUGUGAUCUACCAUUUUCGCAAGAACCGGGAAUUUGGUCGAUUAAGGAUUGGAAUUGGACGACCUCCUGGUCAGAUGGAUCCCAAAGCUUUUGUGCUUCAGAAAUUCAAUAAGACUGGUCGGGAACGGAUUGAUUCGGCCAUAAAAGAGGGUUGUGACAUUCUGAAGAUGGUGGUGACCAAGGGCUUGACGGAGGCGGCGAGAGCGUCAAAUGUGGAUCAGAAGUACAAGCAUCUGGUCUCACAUGACCAGCAGUCGUAA
This 867-nucleotide ribosomal RNA is filed under the name Triticum aestivum (bread wheat). RNAcentral describes it as "partial small subunit ribosomal RNA". The record is from RNAcentral. Lineage: Eukaryota; Viridiplantae; Streptophyta; Magnoliopsida; Poales; Poaceae.